GGGAUAAGCCAUGAGCGCUGCGUUCGGCUGGAUAAGCCCCGAGCGCUCUCUUCCCCCUUUCCUCUCCCUCGUGCUCUCCUUUCCUCGCCGCCUCCUCUCCUCGUCGAACCAGCCGCCUCCUCCCCAUCUUCACGCGCAGCCUCCUCUCCCUCAAGCCCCUCCUCCUUCCCACCCGGGCUUCGCCUCUUCGGGCGGCGGGACGCAGUGGCUGUGGUGAUGGCAGAUGGGGCGACAACGGCGGCGCUCCUCCUCUGCCAUGGCCGAGGACGGCGGUGAGGGGCAAAGGGCGCUGUCGUUCUCCCCCCUCAGCGCGUGAGUCAGAGACGGACGAGGAGGCCGAGCAGUCCGUCAUGCCGUCAACGCAGUCCUCGCCUGCCAAGGUCUGGAUCCUCCUCCCCAUUCCCUCAUGGCGGCGCCUGGAUCCUCCUCCCUCUUCCCUUCCAUGGCGGCACACGGACCUGCCGCAUCUUCCUCAUCGUCAGUCCGAGGAAGAGGAGUGGCAGCAGCCAGACGCGCCUCGUCCGUGUCGCGUUGUGGCCCAGAUGCGUCCACCACGUGCUCUGCGGUGCCCGUCUCGCCCGUCUACGGCCGGAGAAGGAGGGGAGGACUGGAUGCCAGCCGAUCUGGAGGAAGAAGCGGAGACGCGGACCUCGCCUUCCUAUUGAAUUGCUUUUGUUUGUACAACAUGGAUUUUUCAAAAUUAGUUGCUUACAUUGUGAAUAAUUCUAUUAACUUUUAGUUCAAAAGAAUCUGCCGCAGUGUUAAGAGUUCUUUGUGAUGUUGCAUGAUGUUCUGAUUUUGAACUUGAACGUGCUAACUGAAUUUUGCAGUGCAAACUGAACUUUUCAAAUUAACUGAAUUAACUAAAGUUUAUGGAUUUCUCGAAAAGGUAAAGCACUACCUCAGUAUUUCUGUGUUAGAGGGUGCCCCUGUUGUUUCUUGGUAUCAUUACUAGCAAGUGCCAUAUGAGGUGUGUGUGCCUUGCCUGCCAUCAUGAUUCCUGAGGUGUGUGUUUACCUUUGUUUCAAGAAGGUAAACCACACAAAGGGAAUCUAUGUACCAUAAAAAAGAGGAUGUGCAUGUGUCUUGUAGGGUUGAUGGAUUGAUUGAGCACCACACAAAGUAAGUAGUUUGGGGAAAAGAAUGAUGUUGGACUACUAAAAUCAAAGAAAAUAUUCCAUGAAUUUUGACACUGGAAUGGCUUGUAAAUGGUGCAGUGCCAUCUUGUCUCUAGAACAGCUUAAAAAUGGUGUGCAGAGGUUUCUUAGUUCUUGUACUGCACCCCAUUUUUUAGAAAUUGAAACUACUCCAGUGUCCAGUGUUAGCUAAGAGCUAAGAUGAGUACAAGAAUUUUCUGUAGAGAUUGUUGCAAGGAGACAUCUCUAUCCAGUGUUAGCUAAGAGCUAAGAUGAGUACAAGAAUUUUCUGUAGAGAUUGUUGCAAGGAGACAUCUCUGUC
This 1458-nucleotide ribosomal RNA is filed under the name Triticum aestivum (bread wheat). RNAcentral describes it as "partial small subunit ribosomal RNA". Lineage: Eukaryota; Viridiplantae; Streptophyta; Magnoliopsida; Poales; Poaceae. The record is from RNAcentral.